This is a long non-coding RNA of Prosopis cineraria, 603 nucleotides long. RefSeq lists it as uncharacterized. The transcript is spliced from 3 exons. NCBI's taxonomy places the organism in Eukaryota, Viridiplantae, Streptophyta, Magnoliopsida, Fabales, Fabaceae. The record is from RefSeq and is a predicted model, not a curated record.
UUUUUCUGAUGUAAAUUGUUCUUGCAACACUAAUGUUGGUGGGUUGGUGAAGGUCUUUCACAUUUAUGGCAUUGAAAUUGUGCUAUCCUAUUUUCAUUCUCGCUCUUUCCCAUUUGAACGCGAGAAUGGAACAGAGGAAGGGUGAGGAAGUCUCUGGAAAAUCAUCACAGUCUUCUCCCCCUCCUCCUCCUUCUCGCUCGCAUUUCUUGUUCCUCACCGUCGGUCUGCGUCGUUUUCACUGCCACCCUCUUCUCCAUCUUCAUUCGUCCAUUAAAGGGGGUAAGUAGCUGAUUUCUUUCCCUGUUAUUGCUCUCUGUUUCAUCCCUGGUUCGAGCUGUGAGUGGUCUUCAAGUUUCUGUCUUCCUCAAUAGCUGAAAGUUUCAUGUGUGUAUGGUAGUUCAACUCUUUCUUCUAGUGGUCAGAAUUGUUGGUUUUUCUCCUGGGCGUAGCAAGCUGAAGCGUUGGUCAAGUGUUGGCUCUUAGUUGCUGCACUAAAGUUUCGUUUGAGGAUUACAUGAGUUAUGAUUAGCAGUUUUGGAAAGCAAUCAUAUUGCAUCUUCUGUAUAAGGGGAAUUUGCAAAGUAGGUGGCUAUGUAAAGGUGC